This 1550-nucleotide ribosomal RNA is filed under the name Klebsiella pneumoniae. Its description in RNAcentral is "bacterial SSU rRNA". It matches the Rfam family "Bacterial small subunit ribosomal RNA". RNAcentral also lists the same sequence under 2 other names. Lineage: Bacteria; Pseudomonadati; Pseudomonadota; Gammaproteobacteria; Enterobacterales; Enterobacteriaceae. The record is from RNAcentral.
AAAUUGAAGAGUUUGAUCAUGGCUCAGAUUGAACGCUGGCGGCAGGCCUAACACAUGCAAGUCGAGCGGUAGCACAGAGAGCUUGCUCUCGGGUGACGAGCGGCGGACGGGUGAGUAAUGUCUGGGAAACUGCCUGAUGGAGGGGGAUAACUACUGGAAACGGUAGCUAAUACCGCAUAAUGUCGCAAGACCAAAGUGGGGGACCUUCGGGCCUCAUGCCAUCAGAUGUGCCCAGAUGGGAUUAGCUAGUAGGUGGGGUAACGGCUCACCUAGGCGACGAUCCCUAGCUGGUCUGAGAGGAUGACCAGCCACACUGGAACUGAGACACGGUCCAGACUCCUACGGGAGGCAGCAGUGGGGAAUAUUGCACAAUGGGCGCAAGCCUGAUGCAGCCAUGCCGCGUGUGUGAAGAAGGCCUUCGGGUUGUAAAGCACUUUCAGCGGGGAGGAAGGCGAUAAGGUUAAUAACCUUGUCGAUUGACGUUACCCGCAGAAGAAGCACCGGCUAACUCCGUGCCAGCAGCCGCGGUAAUACGGAGGGUGCAAGCGUUAAUCGGAAUUACUGGGCGUAAAGCGCACGCAGGCGGUCUGUCAAGUCGGAUGUGAAAUCCCCGGGCUCAACCUGGGAACUGCAUUCGAAACUGGCAGGCUAGAGUCUUGUAGAGGGGGGUAGAAUUCCAGGUGUAGCGGUGAAAUGCGUAGAGAUCUGGAGGAAUACCGGUGGCGAAGGCGGCCCCCUGGACAAAGACUGACGCUCAGGUGCGAAAGCGUGGGGAGCAAACAGGAUUAGAUACCCUGGUAGUCCACGCCGUAAACGAUGUCGAUUUGGAGGUUGUGCCCUUGAGGCGUGGCUUCCGGAGCUAACGCGUUAAAUCGACCGCCUGGGGAGUACGGCCGCAAGGUUAAAACUCAAAUGAAUUGACGGGGGCCCGCACAAGCGGUGGAGCAUGUGGUUUAAUUCGAUGCAACGCGAAGAACCUUACCUGGUCUUGACAUCCACAGAACUUUCCAGAGAUGGAUUGGUGCCUUCGGGAACUGUGAGACAGGUGCUGCAUGGCUGUCGUCAGCUCGUGUUGUGAAAUGUUGGGUUAAGUCCCGCAACGAGCGCAACCCUUAUCCUUUGUUGCCAGCGGUUCGGCCGGGAACUCAAAGGAGACUGCCAGUGAUAAACUGGAGGAAGGUGGGGAUGACGUCAAGUCAUCAUGGCCCUUACGACCAGGGCUACACACGUGCUACAAUGGCAUAUACAAAGAGAAGCGACCUCGCGAGAGCAAGCGGACCUCAUAAAGUAUGUCGUAGUCCGGAUUGGAGUCUGCAACUCGACUCCAUGAAGUCGGAAUCGCUAGUAAUCGUAGAUCAGAAUGCUACGGUGAAUACGUUCCCGGGCCUUGUACACACCGCCCGUCACACCAUGGGAGUGGGUUGCAAAAGAAGUAGGUAGCUUAACCUUCGGGAGGGCGCUUACCACUUUGUGAUUCAUGACUGGGGUGAAGUCGUAACAAGGUAACCGUAGGGGAACCUGCGGUUGGAUCACCUCCUUACCUUAAAGAA